UUGAACGCUGGCGGCAUGCUUUACACAUGCAAGUCGCACGGUAACAGGCCUUCGGGUGCUGACGAGUGGCGAACGGGUGAGUAAAGCAUCGGAACGUACCCAGAGGUGGGGGAUAACGCAGCGAAAGCUGUGCUAAUACCGCAUGUGAUCUGAGGAUGAAAGCGGGGGACCGAGCAGCAAUGUUUGGCCUCGCGCCUUUGGAGCGGCCGAUGUCGGAUUAGCUAGUUGGUGGGGUAAAGGCCUACCAAGGCGACGAUCCGUAGCUGGUCUGAGAGGACGACCAGCCACACUGGGACUGAGACACGGCCCAGACUCCUACGGGAGGCAGCAGUGGGGAAUUUUGGACAAUGGGCGCAAGCCUGAUCCAGCAAUGCCGCGUGCGGGAAGAAGGCCUUCGGGUUGUAAACCGCUUUUGGCAGGAACGAAACGGUGUCCGCUAAUACCGGGCGCUAAUGACGGUACCUGCAGAAUAAGCACCGGCUAACUACGUG
Molecule: ribosomal RNA, 491 nt
Filed under: uncultured bacterium
Lineage: Bacteria
Description: partial 16S ribosomal RNA
Rfam family: Bacterial small subunit ribosomal RNA
Source: RNAcentral